AUGGCGUCCUCCUCCUCCGCCGCGGCGUCCGCGGCGGCGCUCGAGGCCGUGCAGGUCCUCGUCGCCUCCCUCGCCGACGACUCCCCGCGCGCCCGCGACUCCGCCCUCGCCGCGCUCCGCGAGAUCGCGCCGCUGAACCCGCUGCUCGUCCUCGACUGCUGCGCCACCGUCUCCCGGGGCGGCCACCGGCGCUUUGGCAACAUGGCCGGGGUUUUCCUCGUAAUGGCCUCCGCCGUCAGGGCUCUCGACCGCCUGGAUGCUGAGCGCGAGUUCCUCCGGAAAAUCGCCAAGAUUGCCACCGCCGAGAUUGUUAGCUCAAAGGACUUCAAUGUUGAUUGGCAAAGAGCGGCAGCUACUCUUCUUGUUGCCAUUGGGUCACAUGACCCAGAUUUGAUGAUGGAGGAGAUAUUUCUUUACUUCUCUGGACCAACUUCUGCUUUGCCAGCCAUGUUACAGAUACUUGCAGACUUUGCAUCUGCUGAAGCCCUGCAGUUCACUCCACGAUUGAAGGAUGUACUUUUGCGCGUUUUACCUAUCCUAGGAAGUGUACGAGACGGCCAACGACCUGUUUUUGCAAAUGCAUUAAAGUGUUGGUGCCAGGCUGCAUGGGUGUAUAUAGGAGACACCUCUUCAGGGCUUCCUUUCGAUGACGAUGUUAUGUCCUUCAUGAAUUCAGUAUUUGAAUUACUUCUAAAAGUAUGGACGGGCUCCCGUGAUCUGAAGGUCCGUUUGUCUUCUGUGGAGGCUUUGGGAGAAAUGGUCGGCCUGGUCACUAGGUCACAGUUAAAAUCAGCUCUGCCAAGGAUUAUACCAACAAUGUUGGACCUAUGUAAGAAAGAUCAAGAAGUGGCUUUUACCGCGGCUCACAGUCUUCAUAACCUUCUUAAUGCAUCGUUACUGUCAGAAAGUGCCCCCCCUUUACUUGAGUUUGAGGAGCUAGCUGUUGUCUUAAUUACUCUUCUUCCUUUAGUAUCUGUCAACAUCAGCAAAGAUGAACGCUCAUAUAUUUCAAAGGGAUUGAAGACAUACAAUGAACUCCAGCACUGUUUCUUGGUAACUGGAUUAGCAUAUCCCGAGGAUCUGUGCAUGUUCCUCCUGAGUAAAUGUAGGUCAAAAGAUGAAGCAUCAAUUGUUGGGGCACUUGGAACAAUAAAACAUCUAUUGCCCAGGUUGUUGGAAUCAUGGCAUACUAAGCAAACAUUGUUGGUUGAGAUAGUCAAAUCACUUCUAGAGGAGCAGAGCUUGGGUAUUCGAAUGGCACUAGCUGAGCUAAUUGUCGUUAUGGCUUCACAUUGCUACUUGAGUGGGCAUUCUGCUGAGCUCGCAGUUGAGUUUUUGGUGCGGCAUAGUGCUAUAACCGACGAUGAUCUAAAUGAUAUCAACACUCUGAAAAAUGAGUACUUCCAGGAUAAAAGAUUUGAGAUGAAAAUAAGUCUUGCUGGUCUAUCUGAACUAAGAGCUGUAUGUGAAAAGGGUCUACUUUUACUAGCAAUUACCAUUCCUGAAAUGGAGCUUGUUCUAUGGCCAUUUCUCUUGCAGCUGAUUAUCCCAAAGAAUUAUACAGGUGCAGUAGCUACGGUCUGCAAAUGCAUAACUGAAUUGUGUAGGCGUAAAUUGUCGCAGACAAAUCCACUGUAUACUGAGUUUAAUGCCUCAAAUGAAAUGCCCAGUCCCGAGGAUCUGUUUGCUCGUUUGCUGGUGCUUCUGCAUAAUCCACUUGCUAGGGGGCAACUCGCUACCCAGAUCCUGACGGUGAUGUGCUACUUGGGUCAACUUUUCCCAAGAAACCUUUCUUUAUUUUGGGAAGAUGAGGUCCCUAAGAUGAAAGCUUACAUCAGUGAUCCUGAAGAUCUUAAGCAAGAUAGCACCUACCAGGAAAUAUGGGAUGACAUGAUCAUCAAUUUUUUAGCUGAAUCCUUGGAUGUUGUGAAUGAUAAUGUGUGGGUCAUAUCCUUGGGCGAUGCAUUUGCUAGACAAUAUGAUCUCUAUGCUACAUCUGAUGGGCAUUCAGCUUUGCUGCACAGAUGUUUAGGAAUGCUUCUUCAGAAGGUUGAUGAUAGGAUUUAUGUCCGUGAAAAGAUUGAUUGGAUGUGUAGACAGUCAAGUAUGUCUAUUCCUGUUAAUCGCCUUGGACUUGCCCAAGGCAUUGGUUUGGUUGCAGCUUCUCAUUUGGACACAGUUUUGGAGAAGCUGAAGAACAUAUUAGAAAAUGCAGGGCAAAGUGCUCUCCAGAGGUUCCUCUCAUUUUUCUCGUUUAGAGAAAAAGUGGAGGAUGUUGAUGAUACGUACGCAGCUCUGGCUUUGAUGUAUGGUUAUGCUGCAAGAUAUGCCCCAUCAACAGUUAUUGAAGCCAGAAUCAAUGCACUUGUGGGGACUGAUAUGCUUGGAAGAUUCCUUCAUGUUCAACAUCCUACUGCAAAGCAAGCUGUCAUUACUGCAAUUGACCUUUUAGGCCGGGCUGUUAUUAGUGCUGCUGAAAUAGGAAUUUCGUUCCCACUGCAACGAAGAGAUCAAUUGCUGGAGUAUGUGCUAACUCUAAUGGGAAGGGAUCAAAGUGAUGAUCUCGUUGAUUUCAGCAUUGAGCUUCUUCAAACACAAACUGUUGCUUUGAGUGCUUGUACUACUCUGGUUUCAAUAGAGCCAAGGUUACCUAUGGAAACAAGAAAUCGUGUCAUGAAGGCAACCUUAGGUUUUUUUGCUUUGCCAACUGAGCCCUCAAACAUCGUUGAGAGCCUGAUAACAAACCUAAUUAUUCUGUUAGGUGCCAUUCUGCUAACCAGUGGUGAAGAUGGCCGAAGCAGAGCAGAGCAGCUGUUGCAUAUUCUUAGACAACUCGAUCCAUAUGUUUCAGCAUCUGCAGAACACCAGAGAAGAAGGGGAUGUGUUGCUGUACAUGAGGUGUUAGUAAAGUUUCGCAAUCUUUGUUCUGGUGGAUUUGGUGCAUCGGGCUCCUAUCCAACUUUGAGCCUAAAGCACAUUGAUCAGGGAGGGCCUAGGGGCUCGUCAAGUUUGCCAUCUGCAUUUGUGUUGCCGAAUCGAGAUUCAUUAAGCUUGGGCGAGAGAAUAAUGGCAUAUCUACCUCGUUGUGCUGAUACAGAUGAUGAAGUUAGGAAAGUUGCGAUUCAGAUUAUUGCCCUUUUCUUCAAUAUAUCACUUUCACUUCCAAAGCAGAAGACAUCUGCUAAUGACAUCGAUCUAGAAUCUUCAUACGGUGCUUUGUCUUCCCUAGAGGACAUAGUCUCCAUCAUCAGAAGGGCAUCUGUUGAUCAGAUCGAAGUAUUUCAUAGAGUUGUCUCCUCUGUGUGUACUCUACUAUCUAAGGACGAGCUGGUUGUCUUGCUACACUCUUGCACGUUAGCGGCAUGUGAUAAAGUGAAGCAAUCAGCAGAUGGUUCCAUUCAAGCUAUUAUAGUAUUUAUUAUCAGAAGAGGCAAGGAUCUACGUGAAGCUGAUGUACUGAGGGCAACACAAUCUCUGCUCUCAUCAGCUAUUGCUCUUACCGACAAGCACUCGCGCCAUGAAGUUCUCAAUGCAAUAUCAUGCUUAGCAGAAAAUACCAACCACAUUGUGGUCUUUGAUGAAGUUCUAUUUGUGGCUGGGCGAGAUAUUUGUACAAAGGACAUAACAAGAAUUCGUGGUGGUUGGGCUAUACAAGAUGUUUUUUAUGUUUUCUCCCAGCAUAAGGUGCUGGCUACUCUUUUUCUGGAGUACAUUUUAUCUAUACUUCACAAAGAACCUGUUGCAACAAAUGAUUCAGAAAAAGGGGAAAUUAACUCAGAGUCAUCAGCUGAUGACUGUAUUCUACAAGCAACUAUGUUCGCUCUCAAUGCGUUCCUGAGAGGUGGUGGGAAGGUCGGGAAACAAGCAGUUGAGCAAAGCUACCCUUCUGUCCUUUCUGCACUUAUACUGAAGCUGGGAGGUCUUCACGGUCUUGCUGAAUUAGGCCGCAAUGAGCUUCUACGAUCGUUGUUAAUUGCAUUCCAGUCAUUCUGUGAUUGUGUUGGCGAUGUUGAGAUGGGAAAGAUAUUAGCUCGAGAUGGAGAACGAACUGAGAAGGAGAAGUGGAUUGAUCUUGUGCAAGAGGUUGCAUGCAGUUCCUCAGUAAAGAGGCCCAAUGAGGUUCUGCCAACCUGCGUUAUCUUGAGCAAAUCUCUUGACAGGAAUCAGAGGGCUGAAAGGGAGGCUGCUGCUGCUGCACUAUCAGAAUUUAUUCGCCACAGUGAAAAAGAACCUGCAUUGCUUGAACAAAUGGUUGAGGAAUUGUGUCAACAUGUAACUGACGACUCACCGACUGUCAGGAGUCUCUGCUUGCGAGGACUUGUACAGAUACCUGAGAGCCACAUACUUAAUUACAUCCAGCAAGUCCUAGGAGUAAUAUUAGCAUUACUUGAAGAUGCCACCGAAUCUGUUCAACUCACUGCUGUUCAGUGCCUGUUAACCGUUCUUAAUGUGUCAGAACAAGAUGCAGUGGAUCCCAUUUUAAUAAGUCUCUUAGUAAGGCUAAGGAAUCUCCAGAUCUCCAUGAAUACAAAAAUGAGGUCCAAUGCCUUUGCAGCUUAUGGUGCUCUAAGUGCCUAUGGUGCUGGUUCACAGCAUCAUGCUUUUCUUGAGCAGAUACAUGCCACUCUUCCGCGUUUGAUCCUCCAUCUUCAUGAUAAUGACCUUAGCGUUCGCCUUGCCUGUCGGAACACAUUCCAGCUCCUAGCGCCUUUGAUGGAAGUAGAUGGCUUGUCUUCACUCCUCAACAAGCAAUAUUUCACAUCUGAUCGGCGAUCUGAUUACGAGGACUUCAUUAGGGACUUAACAAGACAACUUUGUCGACUAUCUCCCGUCAGAGUUGACAGCUACCUAGAAUCUGCUAUCCAGGCAUUUGAUGCACCUUGGCCGGUCAUUCAAGCAAAUGCAGUUUGCUUAGUUAGUUGCAUGCUAUCCUUUUUGGACGAUCAACGCUUCCUUGCUCCUUACUUCUCCCAGGUGUUCGCUAUGUUGGUUGGCAGAAUGAGCCAAUCACCAGAGGCCGUUGUUCGAGCAGCAGCAUCUUCUGCCUUGGGCCUCCUGAUAAAGAGGUCUAACAUGCUCAAGUCAUUGAGUUCACGGUUUGAUCGAACAGAUCCAUCACAGAAUUCUCAACAUGGAGAGCCUCACGCUAAAACAUCGUCUGAGCUUCAAGAAGAGGCUGCAGCAAAGCCAAAUGGCGCGCAAGGAGAGCAAUAG
RNAcentral lists this ribosomal RNA (5214 nucleotides) under Triticum aestivum (bread wheat). RNAcentral's name for it is "partial small subunit ribosomal RNA". Lineage: Eukaryota; Viridiplantae; Streptophyta; Magnoliopsida; Poales; Poaceae. The record is from RNAcentral.